RNAcentral lists this unclassified non-coding RNA (161 nucleotides) under uncultured Pseudaegerita. RNAcentral's name for it is "sequence contains ITS1". Lineage: Eukaryota; Fungi; Ascomycota; Leotiomycetes; Helotiales; Hyaloscyphaceae. The record is from RNAcentral.
CAGAGCAUCAUGCCCUUCGGGGUAGAUCUCCCACCCUGUGUAUUUUAUACCUUUUGUUGCUUUGGCGGGCCGCCCUCGGCCACCGGCUCCGGCUGGUGCGUGCCCGCCAGAGGACCCCAAACUCUGAAUAUCAGUGUCGUCCGAGUACUAUAAAAUAGUUA